ACACCCAAAGGAACAUACUAAUGGGGAAAAGGGGGGAAAAUGGGGCGUGGGGGGUGGCAUUUGGGGAAAAAGGCUGCAUACAACUGCCAUGAAGGCUUGAUUGAAAAAGGAAAAGGCUCACCAGGACUCAUUCAGAUUAAGUGGUUUUUAUGGAAAAUAUGAAAGUGGGAUGGAUCAGGACAUCAUUUACAGAACAAAAUGCAUUUAGGAUACCUCUGGUCUCCAGCAUGAUCACAGUGAGAGGAUUACACUGAAAGACACCUCAAUCAAUCAGCUCUGUGAACCCCUGAAGAGUUACAUCAUUCAAGUUACUAGUUUUCAGUAAACAAGCAGCUGGAUUUUGUUGUAUUUAUUC
Long non-coding RNA from Passer domesticus (house sparrow), 355 nucleotides. RefSeq lists it as uncharacterized. NCBI's taxonomy places the organism in Eukaryota, Metazoa, Chordata, Aves, Passeriformes, Passeridae. The transcript is spliced from 3 exons. The record is from RefSeq and is a predicted model, not a curated record.